AUACUUACCUGGCAGGGGAGAUACCAUAAUCAUUAAGGUGGUUUUCCAGGGUGGAUCUUAUCCACUACACUUUGGAUGUGCUGACCCCUGUGAAUUCCCAAAUGUGGGAAACUCAACUGCAUAAUUUGCGGUAGUGGGGGACUGCAUUCGCUCUCUCCCCUG
This is a small nuclear RNA of Fukomys damarensis (Damara mole-rat), 162 nucleotides long. Its record names the gene U1. It matches the Rfam family "U1 spliceosomal RNA". Rfam says of the family: U1 is a small nuclear RNA (snRNA) component of the spliceosome (involved in pre-mRNA splicing). Its 5' end forms complementary base pairs with the 5' splice junction, thus defining the 5' donor site of an intron. NCBI's taxonomy places the organism in Eukaryota, Metazoa, Chordata, Mammalia, Rodentia, Bathyergidae. The record is from Ensembl.